Rosa chinensis is the source of this 562-nucleotide long non-coding RNA. RefSeq lists it as uncharacterized. The transcript is spliced from 3 exons. NCBI's taxonomy places the organism in Eukaryota, Viridiplantae, Streptophyta, Magnoliopsida, Rosales, Rosaceae. The record is from RefSeq and is a predicted model, not a curated record.
UAUGAUUUCUCUUUUCUCAAAACUCAGAAGAGAGAACUAGCAAUUGAUGGAUUUCAACUACCGCAACACAAACGAAUUAAGAUCAAGCUAGGCCUUAUUGUUGGUGGGGGUGGUCAAGCAAUGGCGUUGGUGCCUAUCAUAACCUUUCACGUUUCAAUAAAAGACAGAUCAGGCAAAAGGAGAUGGCCUCAAAUCAACUUCAUACCACAACAUUUUUAAUUUUAGAUCUGCAGGAAUUUAUAAAAUGCAAACGUCAUCAACUGAAGGAGAAGAAAGGAAAACCCUUAGAUCUACAAAAUUACCAUGAAGAACGAUGAAGGAAAGACUCCAGAUUUGCAAAAUCUCAAUGAAGGACCCAAAACAAAAUGAAAUUAAAUGGAGGACCCCAAAAUAAAUAUCCUAAUAUUUGAAUAAUUCAUUAAAUUGAUGAAUUAUAUUUAAUUACGAAUUCAAUUGUUGAUGGGACAUGACUGCAGAUGCAGUAUUGAAACUGGAGUGGGACCCGCGCAUAUAUUUCACACGGAUUUGUUAGGGUGUGUGAAAAUAGCAUUAGCGAUGCCAG